UACGUAGGGUGCAAGCGUUGUCCGGAAUUAUUGGGCGUAAAGAGCUCGUAGGCGGUCUGUCGCGUCGAAUGUGAAAACCCGGGGCUCAACCCCGGGCCUGCAUUCGAUACGGGCAGACUAGAGUUCGGUAGGGGAGUCUGGAAUUCCUGGUGUAGCGGUGAAAUGCGCAGAUAUCAGGAGGAACACCGGUGGCGAAGGCGGGACUCUGGGCCGAUACUGACGCUGAGGAGCGGAAGCGUGGGGAGCAAACAGG
RNAcentral lists this ribosomal RNA (253 nucleotides) under uncultured bacterium. Its description in RNAcentral is "partial 16S ribosomal RNA". It matches the Rfam family "Bacterial small subunit ribosomal RNA", at positions 524 to 776 of the family's 1533-position model. The record is from RNAcentral.